GACGAACGCUGGCGGCGUGCUUAACACAUGCAAGUCGAACGGCAAGGCCCUGCUUUUGUGGUGUGCUCGAUUGGCGAUCGGGUGCGUAACACGUGAGUAACCUGCCCUUGACUUUGGGAUAACUUCACGAAACUGGGGCUAAUAUCGGAUAGGAGCUCCUGCUGCAUGGUGGGCGUUGGAAAGUUUCGGCGGUUGGGGAUGGACUGGCGGCUUAUCAGCUUGUUGGUUGGGUAGUUGCUUACCAAGGCUUUGACGGGUAGCCGGCCUGUGAGGGUGACCGGGCACAUGAGGACUAAGAGACGGCGCAGACGGGUACGGGAGGCAGUAGGGGGGAAUAUGACACAAUGGGCGGAAGCGUGAUACAGAGGCGUCGGGGGCGGGAAGACGGCCUGUGGGGUGUAAACAGCUGUCGCCUGUGACGAAGCGGGAGUGACGGUAAUGGGUAAAGAAGCACCGGCUAACUACGUG
RNAcentral lists this ribosomal RNA (468 nucleotides) under uncultured bacterium. Its description in RNAcentral is "partial 16S ribosomal RNA". It matches the Rfam family "Bacterial small subunit ribosomal RNA", at positions 28 to 507 of the family's 1533-position model. The record is from RNAcentral.